UCNAUCAUCAUGCCCCUUAUGACCUGGGCUACACACGUAAUACAAUGGCGGUCAACAGAGGGAUGCAAAGCCGCGAGGCAGAGCGAACCCCUAAAAGCCGUCCCAGUUCGGAUCGCAGGCUGCAACCCGCCUGCGUGAAGUCGGAAUCGCUAGUAAUCGCGGAUCAGCAUGCCGCGGUGAAUACGUUCCCGGGCCUUAGUACACACCGCCCGUCACACCAUGAGAGUCGGGAACACCCGAAGUCCGUAGCCUAACCGCAAGGAGGGCGCGGCCGAAGGUGGGUUCGAUAAUUGGGGUGAAGUCGUAACAGGGUAACGUACA
RNAcentral lists this ribosomal RNA (321 nucleotides) under uncultured bacterium. Its description in RNAcentral is "bacterial SSU rRNA". It matches the Rfam family "Bacterial small subunit ribosomal RNA", at positions 1185 to 1506 of the family's 1533-position model. The record is from RNAcentral.